RNAcentral lists this ribosomal RNA (496 nucleotides) under uncultured microorganism. RNAcentral's name for it is "bacterial SSU rRNA". It matches the Rfam family "Archaeal small subunit ribosomal RNA", at positions 234 to 734 of the family's 1478-position model. The record is from RNAcentral.
UGUUGGGGUAACGGCCCAACAAGCCAUUGAUCGGUACGGGUCGUGGGAGCAAGAGCCCGGAGAUGGAUUCUGAGACAUGAAUCCAGGCCCUACGGGGCGCAGCAGGCGCGAAAACUUUACAAUGCGAGCAAUCGUGAUAAGGAAACCCUGAGUGCCUGUCAAUGCAGGCUGUUCUGGUGUCUAACACACACCAGGAGAAAGGGCGGGGCAAGACCGGUGCCAGCCGCCGCGGUAAUACCGGCUGCUCGAGUGAUAGCCGCUUUUACUGGGCUUAAAGCGUUCGUAGCUUGGUCGUUAAGUCUCUGGGGAAAUCUUCUGGCUUAACCAAAAGGCGUCUCAGGGAAACUGGCGAUCUUGGAACCGGGAGAGGUAAGACGUACUUCGGGGGUAGGAGUGAAAUCUUGUAAUCCCCGAGGGACGACCGAUGGCGAAGGCAUCUUACCAGAACGGCUUCGACAGUGAGGGACGAAAGCUGGGGGAGCAAACCGGAUUAGAU